GAUGAAGAACGUAGCGAAAUGCGAUAAGUAAUGUGAAUUGCAGAAUUCAGUGAAUCAUCGAAUCUUUGAACGCACAUUGCGCCCGCCAGUAUUCUGGCGGGCAUGCCUGUUCGAGCGUAAUUUCAACCAUCAAGCCCCCGGCUUGUGUUGGGGACCUGCGGCUGCCGCAGGCCCUGAAAACCAGUGGCGGGCUCGCUAGUCACUCCGAGCGUAGUAAUACAUCUCGCUCAGGGCGUGCUGCGGGUUCCGGCCGUUAAAAAGCCUUAUUUACCCAAGGUUGACCUCGGAUCAGGUAGGAAGACCCGCUGAACUUAAGCAUAUCAAUAAGCGGAGGA
This 335-nucleotide unclassified non-coding RNA is filed under the name soil metagenome. RNAcentral's name for it is "partial contains 5.8S ribosomal RNA, internal transcribed spacer 2, and large subunit ribosomal RNA". The stretch from base 1 to 120 matches the Rfam family "5.8S ribosomal RNA", at positions 35 to 154 of the family's 154-position model. The record is from RNAcentral.